This 231-nucleotide ribosomal RNA is filed under the name uncultured Eubacteriales bacterium. Its description in RNAcentral is "uncultured Clostridiales bacterium partial 16S ribosomal RNA". It matches the Rfam family "Bacterial small subunit ribosomal RNA", at positions 104 to 334 of the family's 1533-position model. The record is from RNAcentral. Lineage: Bacteria; Bacillati; Bacillota; Clostridia; Eubacteriales.
GGGUAGAGUAACGCGUGAGUAACCUGCCUUACACAAGGGGAUAGCCUUUGGAAACGAAGAAUAAUACCCUAUAAAACCGUAAAAGCACAUGCUAGAAUGGUCAAAGUGAUAGCGGUGUAAGAUGGACUUGCGUCUGAUUAGCUAGUUGGUGAGAUAAAAGCUCACCAAGGCAACGAUCAGUAGCCGGCUUGAGAGAGUGUACGGCCACAUUGGGACUGAGACACGGCCCAG